RNAcentral lists this long non-coding RNA (19043 nucleotides) under Zea mays. Its description in RNAcentral is "long non-coding RNA (ZMAY_LNC005745)". The record is from RNAcentral. Lineage: Eukaryota; Viridiplantae; Streptophyta; Magnoliopsida; Poales; Poaceae.
GCAAGAAACAAAUGUUAUCAUGAGAACCUCAUUUCACUUCUUACUCGAUGCAGCAUAGCGGUCAAGCAGUCUCAUUAGUUGUCACACAUGAGUUCUUGGGGCACCAAAACCCGGGCGUGAAAUAACCACCAAGUGUGCUAGGACCAAGUCUUACACAUAUGAUGACUCAUGGUACAAAAACGAAUGUCACAACAUUACUAUAUAAUGGAGUUCUGUACAAAAUAAUAAAUAAUUACAUCAUACGAAGACAACAAUCCAGCAACCCAAAGUUGACUGGGAGACGACGACCUAGACCUCUCACGAACACAUCACGCCAUCCUUCAUGUUCCUCAUCCUAGGGUACCUGUCCUUGACCUGGGGGAUGUGAGUACAGUAAGGGUGAGCUCACAUACGUUCAUCACUCAAUAAGUUAUGGGGAAUAAUGUGCAUGAACUCACCAAAGGUGGGAGCCCAUGUGAAGUGUAAGGCUUACUAAAGAGGGUGGUUAAAGCUGAGCAUUGCUUUUAAAGUUGGUCAAAAUUUUAUUAACAAUUACUAGGUAUAAGUAGAUACCAACCUAAUUAAGUAAGAGAUUAAGAUUAAUAACAACACCCACGUUGCAAUGCAAAUGACAAAUUGAGUUUAAUUCCAUAAGUUAAUCAUGUCAGGGUUCGAGCUGCUCAUGACCGUGAGCGCGGCUAAUAUACUAGUUUUACAAUCUGCAGAGGUUGCACAUCUUUACCCACAAGUCGUGUAACCCAUUUGCCAUGGGGUUGAUUGGACCCCAUACACCUCUACCAAGGAAGCGAGGCAGGGUUCCACUACGAGGCAUUUACAAAGUUCCACUAGCUUCAUAAAACCCGCUACAGUUCUAGGGAGCGCAGCAUAGGAACCCCCCGUCUGAAAAGCCAUCGCAGCAAAAUCAGCCUGAGAACCUCCCUAUACCAACCACUCCCCUAAUGCCCUUGCCCCUUUCUGGUAAGGUAGUCCUCCACUAGCUUUCCUAAUUAGUCAGCCAAGGGCGUCCCAUACCACCCUUGUGGUAGCACUGUUUUCCCGGAUGGUUCUCCAUGUUCCAAUUAACAAUAUGAUCUUAUCAUGAACAAUAAUUAAACAACGACAUAAUUGGAACAUGAUCAUAAUAAAACAUUAGUUUCCCAAAACCAGGUAGAGCAAUAGCAAAUCUACCCAAUAGUUCAUCUGUUUGCAAGGUGGGGGAUAAACAAUGCUAGGGAAACCUAUUAGGUCCCAUCAAAUUAACCUGAGCAUGCCAUAGUGAUUAACAACGAACAUUAUUAGGUAAAAAUAAGUAAUCAAGGGCACAACUUGCCUGAGACUCAAGAUUCCAGGUGACAGGAUGAUCUUUAGAUUCUCGUGACCUCACUGCUGUUCGUAGCAAUACAAACAAACAUGGUAUAGGAAAAAUUAAAAUCACAUCAAACAUAAGCACAAACUACAUAAUAAUAUUCUAUGCGUCAUAAUGAGAUCGUAGGUUCGAGAAUCACUAAAUUUGGAGUUACGAUUAGCGAGUUAUGAUUUUCUGAUGAUUUAAGUGUUGAAUAUAAAAGAAAUUAAGUGAAUAAUUUUAAUCUAAGUUUCAUAAAAAACUGAGGUUACCAUAAGAUAAACAAUAUUAUUAUGAAUUUAAUGCAACUGGAAUGGAUCAAUUUGGAGUUAAAAUUGAUUACUUAUGAAUUAAUCAAGAUUCUAGAUUUAUUUUUACCCUAAAAAUCAUUUUCUCGGAAUUAUUUUACUUAAUUCAAGCACUGUGGACUGGGCACACUAUUUCAGAAGAGUUCAGAGGGUUCUGCGUAAAUUAUAGGACCACACUAUAAUGGUUUUAACAUUAACCUAGACGGCGGGUUGAUUUUAUAAAACAUAGGGUUUCUUUUGCAAGAUACGCUGGCCGAAGGGGUAUCGCUCAGAUCUGCCCGUCUGAUCAAAACCAAAGGCCACGAUUAGAUCGCCGUUAUUAUGAACCGGUACACGACUGUGGUUGUCCGAUCUUAAUCCAAUGGUCCAAAUUCGACCACGUCUCGCAAUCCGUUGAUCCAGAGAUCAACGUGCACGAUUCAGUGCGGUGAAUUGCUACACAAAUCACAUACUAGCUGUUCGAUACACAACCGGUGGAUGAGAUCAAUCCGAAUGAAGGGGUAUGUUGUAAGCUAAUCCUAACCGUCCACUUAAGGUUGAUGGCCCGGAUUGAAUGAGGUCACAAUCUAAUCCUGAUCGUCGUUUGCAAAUCCAACGGUCCGAGGGCCUUCUUCCACCCCACCGCCGAGCCACGGCGAGGCCACCCACUAGGCGGAGGUGACCACGCCGGAGUGCAUGCAACCGGCGCGCCAGAGCCCUAAUUCCCAAAUCGAAAGCCACUACCCGAUGCUACAACCAUGGCGGGUCAGAGAAGGAUAUUAUCACCGACUGUGAAGGCGGGGGAGCUCCAGACCUCGUCGAUGCAGGGCCCCACGGCAUCGCCAAAACCACGGCGAGCAAUUCCCGCCGCACCGCACACCCACCUCGCCCGGUGUGUCCACGAACACCUCCCAAGGAGCUAGUUGAAGCUCCCAGACCCAGCGGAGAGACCCCGACGAGGGUGAAUCCGCGUAAUCCUCAUGGCGACUUGGAUCUUCUUUCCUGGUUCUGACACGAGUGCUCCCGGCACCCAGCUUCUUGCUGUGGCAUGGCUCCUAAUUGCAGACGCUGAGAGGAGCGCUCGACAUAUAUAGCUGUAGGAGAACCCAAUUGGCCAAGAAUCCAAGUGAUCCGGUUGGUUGCGAUUAUGGCAGCAAAUCUGAGCUUCAGGCGGGAUCUGUUACGAGGUAGAAGACUACGCUGACGAUUGGGUGCCACGUGCAGGCAGCAUAACUCGAGUCCGUGCACGGGAUGAGAGACCGUUCGGGUGGGGCCCGCGCACCGGUGAGUGCACUCGCGUGUAUGAGCGCAGGAGCGGCUGGUAGAGGAGUGGUUGCCAUCAGGGCCGACAAGGCAGUGACCGGAAAGGAGUCCGCACAUAAGGGAUAGUGGCUGAUGGGCGGGGCCCACGUGUCGGCGCCCCAAAAUAGCACUGGACCGAGCGGGAGGUGGGUAUGGGCCGGUUUAGGGAUUCUAGCCCAAGCAGUUGUUUUGUUUUGUUCUCUUUUUUUGAUUUUAUUUUCCUAUUUAACUCUUCAAAUUUAAAUUUCAAAUUCAACCAAACUAAAACUCCAAGGUUGAACUUUCCAAUUAAGUUCACAAACAAAGAAAAAUCCCAGCAUGAUGCAAAUAUAUUUUAUGUGUAUUUAUUCCUUUCUAUUACUUUGCUCAUGUAGUUAUUUUCAUUUAUGACAUCCCAUAAACGAGAAAUUCACAUUAUUAUAUAACCCAAUAGGUAUAAUUAUGGUGAAAUAAUUCACCACCAAUUUAUUUAAAAGGAACACUAACACUAAGACUAAUGUGUUUGCUUGAGUAAUUUUGAUAGUCUCAAAGAUGGAUUGAAAGGGAACAGGUGGACUUGGACAAAGAAAAAGCUUCUACCGCAUUCCGGUAACAAUGUAUCUUGUCCAGAGUCCCUAUCCGUGUUUUCUCAUUGCCUUUGGUUUUACUUGCGAUUUGUGUAAGGCAAUGGGGUUAAAGUGCCAAAAAGUUCUUCUAUUUUGGUGCUUAAUGCCAAAGGGGAGAAAUUAAGGCCAAAGCAACUGGAUCAGCUAACACUUGUGUAUUUUUAAAAAUUUUGUAGUGUAAGAAUACUUUAUUUUUUGAUCAAAACCCUCUUAUUACAAAAAACGCUCUCUUGUGGGGGAGAAAUUCGAUUAUGGAAAAAGGGGGAAUUUUGGUACUUGAUCAAAUCUAAUCUUCUAAAUGUUUUGAUUUUUCAAAACAAGUGUUUUUGACAUAGAGAUAGGAAAAUAAAUUUGUUUUAUGAAAUCAAACCAAGUGGUGGCAAAAGUGAUCCAAAUAUGUCAAAUCAUAUGUUAGAUAAAUUGGUAUUCAAAUUUGACAUCAAGUUGCACUCUUUAGCUUGCAUUUGAAAAUGUUGUUACAUUUUGAGUUGUUUUUGAUGUGUUGCCAUAAACCAUCAAAAUGGGGGAGAUUGAAAGGGAAAUGUGACAUUGGGCCAUUUUUAUUAUGUUUUGGUCAUUAGAUGCUCAACACAUAUUUGUUUUGCCUAAAUCUGAGCUAAGGCUUAAAAAGAUGCAAAUGCAAAAGCAAGGUACGAUUCUAGACUUAGUAAAUUGUUUUUGGUACUAACAUUAUUCUACUAAGUGCUAGGAACCUUCUCAAAGUGAGAGAAAUCGAAUUGGAGAAGUUUAGCUAAGGCAAGCCAAACUUGCACCAGCCUGUGGUGCAUCGGACUGUCAGGUGUGCACCGGUCAGUGUCCAGUGCCUAGGCUGGCGCACGAGCGAACAGGCCGCUCUCGGAAAAAUGCUGAGGGCUCCACGACUAUAAUUCACCGGACUGUACGGUGUGUAUCGGACUGUCCGGUGUGCCAGCCGCGUGCCCGCCAACGGUCGACCGCGCGAUCAAUGGGUGACAUGUGGCUCAUCCAACGGUCAGAAGGUCGCACCGGACUGUCCGGUGUGCCACGGGGGGGGGGGGGGGGGUGGGUGCAACGGUCGUCUUCGCCAGAAAAGGAAGGGAAUCGUGCACUGUUCGGUGGUGCACCGGACUGUCCGGUGAGCCCACGGACAGAAGGCAACCAGAGCCUUCCAAAUGGAGUUCAAACGGAUCCUAGCUGCAUUGGGGCUAUAAAAGGGACCCCUAGGUGCAUGGAGCGCUACACCAACCACUCAUUGAACAUCCAACAACGCCGAGACAUCGAAUUCACGUGUUUGCUUUCGUAGAUUGAGAUUUGGGCACUUGUGUUAAGCUAUAACUCGGAUGUGCUAUCUUUGUGCUUCUCUCUCUCAUUUUGUGUGUCUGAGUCACUGCAAGUUUAUCUCGUGUGUGUGGUUUCAUUCCCUCCCUUACUCUUGUGGUUUUAUUGUGAUCAAUCUUGUAAGGGUGAGAGACUCCAACUUGUGGAGAUUCCUCACAAAGGGAAUACUUGAGAAACGGAUGAAAGCCGUGGUACUCAAGUUUGAUCUUUGGAUCACUUGAGAGGGAUUGAUUGCAAUCCUUGACCGAAGGAGGUCACCACAACGUGGAGUAGGCAUUGGUCGAACCACGGGAUAAAAUCACCAUGUCUCUUAUGCAUCUUUCUAUUGUGAUUGCUUUCUUCCAUAGAGUUCUCACUUGAUCACUUGCGCUAUUGUUCCUAAGUUCAAUACAUAUCCUAAAGGAACAAUCAAGUGAAGAGUUAUUUUCUCUCUAUUCAUAUCACCUUGGUUCUAAUCUCACUAACAUUUAUUAUAAACCAAGUUGGUGUUGUUUAGACUUGAUUUUUACAGGAUCACCUAUUCACCUCCCCCUCUAGGUGCUCUCACAUAUAGCAAUGUGUUUUGUGAUCUCUCUUUUCAUACCAUACCACUAUAAUCUCUUCUUUAGGUCUUCGUACAUUUUUCUCAUUUCUAGGGUGCAUGGAGUAGGUUAUCUCAUGAACAUAUUUGAGGAUUAGCUCCUGAAUGAACUUGAUGUCAGGAACACACAAUUGAUCCUUGAACCAUAUUAUGUCAUCUACAUCUUCUCGAAAGUCCUCGCCUCCCUUGCAUGAUGUUCAUGAAGCUUUGGGUAACUCAUAUGGCCUUCUUAACUUGUCAAACUCCUUGGCUAACUCGUAUGGCAUUGGGUGAGCGGCCUUCAUGUUGACUUGACUCUUCCUACUCAAAGCAUCUGCAACACAUUCGCUUUGCCCUGAUGGUAAUGUAUCUCCAACUCAUAGUCUUUGAUCAAUUCCAACCAUCUUCGUUGCCUCAUGUUUAGCUCGGAUUGGGUGAAUAUGUAUUUAAGACACUUGUGGCCUAUGUAGACAUCACAUUUCUGCCCAUAUGGGUAAUGUCUCCAUGUCUUUAAAGCAUGAACCACUGCUGUAAUUCUAGAUUGUCUGUUGGAUAAUUCCUCUCAUGGAUCUUUAGCUCUUAAGAUGAGUAUGCAACAAAUCUCCAUUCUUGCAUUAGCACACAUCCCAAUCCAGUGUAAGAAGCAUCACAGUACACUGAGAAAGGUUUGUGAACAUCUAGCAGAAUCAAAAGUGGGGUGGUAGUCAACUUAUCUUUUAGCUCUUCAAAUGCCUCUUGGCACUUUUGGGUCCACUUAAACUCGACCUUCUUUGCUAGCAAGGCUAUCAUCGGUCUAACAAUCUUUGAAAAGCUUUCAAUGAAACAUCAAUAAUACCCUGCCAUUCCGAUUAAACUCUUGAUUUCAUGAACAUCUUUUGAAACUUUCUAGUUUAGAAUGUCGGCUACCUUAUUUGGAUCCACAACUAGCCCGUCUCAGUUUAUGAUGUGACCCAAGAACAUGACUUCAUGAAUCCAAAACUCACAUUUACUCAACUUAGCAUAUAACUGGUGCCCUCGUAGCCUUUUCAAUGCCAUCUUCAAGUGUUCCACAUAUCCUCCUCACUUUGAGAAUAUAUGAGAAUAUCAACAAUGAACACCACCACAAACUUGUCCAGAUAAUCUAGAAACACAUUUUCAUUAGGUACAUGAAGAAAGCUGGCACAUUCAUCAGACCAAAGGAUAUCACUGCCUACUAAUAUAACCCAUACUUGGUGAUGAAUGUCGCCUUCGGUAUGUCUGAAGGUCAGAUCCUGAGCUUAUGGUAACCUGACCUGAGAUCUAUCUUUGAGAACACAUUGGCUCCUCUAAGCUGGUCGAACAUAUCUUCUAUUCUCGAGAGGGGGUACUUAAUCUUGAUGGUAACUUCAUUCAAAGCUAUGUAAUCUAUGCACAUCCUCUUGGUACUAUCCAUCUUAUCUAUGGACAGAACUGAAGUGGCCCAAGGUGAGGUACUUGGUCUGAUGUAACCUUUCUCUAAUAGCUCAUCUAUAUGCUUCUUAAGUUCCAUUAAUUUUAGUCCAAACACUAGGUAGGAUCUUUAAGAAAUGGGGGCUAUACUAGGGCCAAGUUCUAUAGCGAACUCAACCUUCCGCUUGGGUGGCAUGCCCGAUAGCUCCUUAGUGCACACAUCCAGAAACUCUAACAUGACCUUAAUGGCCUCAAAUGGGUUGGCCUCCUUGCUGUCAAUGGUCAUCUGGUGGAAUCUCCUUUUUCGGACUCAUGCAUGCUUAAUUUGGUCACUACUUAACCGGAUGGGGAAACCAAAUUCAUGGUCCUCUUAUCACAACUGACACUCGCUCGAUACUUCCUUAGCCAAUUCAUCCCAAGGAUGACAUCUAGCUCAUACGUACCCAUCACUAUUAAGUUAGCGGGGAACUCUAUCCCUCUUAUUUCCACCCCUACAUUCAAACAUAUCUUAUCUAUCUAGACUUUCUCACCAACUGAAUUAAUUCGCAUUGGGGUUGUCAUGGGUCUUGUUGGAAGGUUAUAUGUUUCUACCCAUUUUGUAGCGAUAAAUAAAUGUGUUGCACCAGUAACAAAUAGCACACUUGCUGGACAAGAUUCAACUAAGAACAUACCUACUACCACGUUCGGUGUGUCCUAAAUUGCUUUAGCCUCCAAGUGAUUCACCUUUCCACGGUGGUAUGCCCGACCACAAUUGCCUACUGCUUGUUGGGGUCAACCUUGUCUUGCUACGGUGUUGGGAGCUAACUGUUGCUGUGUCAUCUCAUUCGGGCAAUGUAUUGUCCAGUGGCCUUGCUCUCUAUAAUGAAAGCAUCCUCUGCCUCUGUCACACCCGAGUUUUAGGGGCACCAAACCCGGGCGCGAAUAAUCAAAUGUGUGCUGGGAUCAAGUCUCACACAUAUGAUGACUCAUGGUACAGAAACGAAUGUCAUAUCAUUAAUAUAUAACAGAGUUCUAUACAAAAUAGUUAAAUAAUUACAUCAUACGAAGUCAACGAUCCAUCAACCAAAGGUGACUGGGAGACGACGGCCUAGACCACUCACGAACUCAUCACAACAUCCUUCAUGCGCCUCAUCCUGUGGUACCUGUUCAUGACCUAGGGGAUGUGAGUACAGCAAGGGUGACCUCACAUACAUUCAUCGCUCAACAAGUUGUGGGAAUAAUGCGCAUGAACUCACCAAAGGUGGGAGCUCAUGUGAAGUGUAAGGCUUACCAAAGGAGAUGGUUAAAGCUGAGCAUUGCUUUUAGAGUUGGUCAAAAUUUUAUUAGCAGUUACUAAGUAUAAGUAGAUACCAACCCAAAUAAAUAAGAGAUCAAGAUUAAUAAUAACACCCACAAUGCAAUGCAUAUGACAGGUUUAGUUUAGUUCCAUAAAUUAAUCAUGCGAGAGUCCUGAGUCGCUCUUGACCGUGAGCAUGGCUGAUAUGUCAGUUUUACACUCUACAGAGGUUGCGCCUGAAAGGGAAAUGUGCCCUUGGGCCAUUUCUAAGUAUUUUGGUGAUUGAGUGCCAACACAAGUGGUCAUGUGUUAAUCUAUGCCAAAUGAUGGACAAAGUGAAAAUCAACAUAAAGGUAUGUUUCUAAGUCUUAGUACUUUGUUUUAAGGACUAAUGUAUUGUGUCUAAGUACUGGAAACAGGAGAAAUCAAUUUGGAAAAGAGAUGGCUUUGUUCAGCCAAAGACAGUUCAGUCUGGGAGCACCGGACUAUCCGGUGGUGCACCGGACAGUGUCCGGUGCGCCAGGCUGGCUCUGGUGAAAAGGCCUCUCUCGGGAAUUCGUCGGCGGCGUACGGCUAAAAUUCACCGGACUGUCCGGUGUGCACCGGACUAUCCGGUGAGCCAACGGUCGGCCGAGCCAACGGUCGGCCGCGCAAUCCGCGCGUGACGCGUGGCCGGGCCAACGGUCUGAAGGGGGCACUGGACUGUCCGGUGUGCACUGGACAGUGUCCAGUGCGCCAACGGCUCCAAAUCUCCAACGGUCGGCUGCGCCAAAACAGGAAAGAAAUCCGCACCGGACAGUGUCCGGUGGUGCACCGGACUGUCCGGUGCGCCAGGCGACAGAAGGCAAGAAUUGCCUUCCUAGAAUGCUCUCAACGGCUCCUAGCUGCCUUGGGGCUAUAAAAGGGACCCCUAGGCGCAUGGAGGAGUAUACCAAGCAUCCCUUGAGCAUUCCUAAGCACCAAGACCUCAUUUCCGCGCAUUCGAUUCUUUGUGAUAGCAACUAGAGCUCCAUUUGAGUAGAGAACUCUUUGAGUUGUGUUGAGAGCUCAAGUUGUGACUUAUGUGCGUAUUGUUGCUCUGAUUUUGUGUCUUGUGUGUGUUGCUCAUCCCAUCCUUACUUCCGUGAUUCUUUGUGUUAAUCAAAUUGUAAGGGCGAGAGGCUCCAAGUUAUGGAGAUUCCUCGCAAGCGAGAUAUAGUGAAACAAAGCAAAACACCGUGGUAUUCAAGUGAGUCUUUGGACCGCUUGAGAGGGGUUGAGUGCAACCCUCGUCCGUUGGGACGCCACAACGUGGAGUAGGCAAGUGUUGGACUUGGCCGAACCACGGGAUAAACCACUGUGCCUCUCUGUGUUGAUCUCCUUGUGGUUAUUGUGUUUUGCAAGAACUCCUCUCUAGCCACUUGGCUUUAUUGUGCUAACUCCUAAUCAAGUUUUGUGGCAUUAAGUCUCAAGUUUUUACAGGAUCACCUAUUCACCCCCCUCUAGGUGCUCUCAAUUGGUAUCAGAGCCGUUCUCUUCAAGAAAGGGACUAAUCUCCCGAAGGGAUGGAUCCUAAGGGAAAGGGGAUAGUGAUCAAUGACAAGGAGAAGGAGUCCUUCAUCAAUGAGCCGAAAGACGACAAGCCCACUGACUCAGGCUCAAGUCAUAAGAAGAAGGACGGGAAGAAGAAGAGGCGUAUCAGGAAGAUCGUCUACUACGACGACAACGACGAGUCUUCUUCUUCCCAAAAGGACCACGACGACAACGACUACGAGAAAAGGAAGACGGUUAAUUCAAACUUUUUCUUUGAUUAUUCUCGUAUUCCGCAAAAUUCCAAUGCUCAUUUGCUUUCCAUUCCCCUCGGUAAACCUCCUCACUUUGAUGGAGAGGACUACAGAUUUUGGAGUCACAAAAUGCGUAGCCACUUGUUCUCCCUCCAUCCAAGUAUAUGGGAGAUAGUAGAAAAUGGAAUGCACUUUGAUAGUACGGAUAGUCCCAUGUUCAUCAAUGAACAUAUUCAUAAAAAUGCACAAGCUACUACUGUGUUGUUAGCCUCAUUGUGCAGGGAUGAGUACCAUAAGGUGAGCGGCUUGAACAACGCCAAGCAGAUUUGGGACACCCUCAAGAUCUCACAUGAGGGGAACGAUGUCACCAUGCUCACCAAGAUGGAGUUGGUGGAAGGUGAACUAGGAAGGUUCGCAAUGAUCAGGGGGGAGGAGCCAACCCAAACAUACAACAGGCUCAAGACCCUCGUCAACAAAAUAAGGAGCUAUGGAAGCACGCGAUGGACGGACCACGACAUCGUCCGCCUAAUGCUAAGGUCUUUCACUGUCCUUGAUCCACAUCUUGUAAACAAUAUUCGUGAAAAUCCUAGGUACACCAAGAUGUCACCCGAAGAAAUACUUGGAAAGUUCGUAAGCGGGCGGAUGAUGAUCAAGGAGGCAAGAUACGUCGAUGAGGCAUUGAAUGGUCCAAUUCAUGAGCCUCAAGCCAUUGCACUCAAGGCAACAAAUAGCAAGGAGACGCUACCUAGCAAGGUGGCACAAGUUUAGGCAGCGGGGCUCAAUGAGGAAGAAAUGGCCCUCAUCAUCAAGCGCUUCAAGACAACGCUAAAGGGUCGCAAGGAGCAUCCCAAAAAGAGCAAGACGAAGGGAAAGCGCUCCUGCUUCAAGUGUGGUAAGAUUGGUCACUUUAUUGCUAACUGUCCCGAUAAUGAUAGUGACCAGGAACAAGGAAAGAAUGGGAAAAGAGAGAACAAGAAGGUUUACAAGAAGGCUAAAGGCGAGGCACACCUUAGAAAGGAGUGGGAUUCGGAUUGCUCUUCGUCCGACUCUGACGACGAAGGACUCGCCACCACCGCCUUCAACAAAUCGACUCUCUUCCCCAACGAGCAUCACACCUGCCUCAUGGCAAAGGAGAAGAAGGUAAGUACUCGAAAUGCUAUUACUUAUGCCUCUUCUAGUGAUGAUGAAUCUAGCGAUGAUGAAAUAGACUAUGCUAGUUUGUUCAAGGGCUUAGAUAGAACUAAAAUCGACAAGAUCAAUGAAUUGAUUGAUGCUUUGAAUGAUAAGAAUAGAUUGUUAGAAAAGCAAGAGGAUCUUUUGUAUGAAGAACAUGAUAAAUUUGUAGAGGCACAAAAAUCUCUUGCUUUAGAAGUUAAAAGGAAUGAAAUGCUUUCUUGUGAACUAUCUACUUGCCAUGAGACCAUUUCUAGUUUAAAAAGUGUUAAUGAUGAUUUAAAUGCUAAACUAGAAGUAGCAAAUAGAUCUAACUCUUGUGUAGAACAUGUUGUGGUUUGCAAUAGGUGUAAAGAUUUUAAUGUUGAUGCUUGUAGUGAACACCUAGUCUCCAUUUCUAAAUUGAAGGACAAAGUGGCUAGUCUUAAUGCUCAACUUAAGACUAGCAAAAGUGAAUUUGAUAAACUAAAAUUUGCAAGGGAUGCCUACACGAUUGGUAGACACCCCUCAAUUAAGGAUGGACUUGGCUUUAAGAGGGAAGCCAAGAACUUAACAAGUCAUAAGGCUCCCAUCUCCGCCAAGGAGAAAGGGAAGGCUCCUAUAACUAAUAGUAGUCAAAAGAAUCAUGCUUUCAUUUAUGGUGAUAAGAGAUAUUCUAGAAAUGCUCAUUAUAAUAGGAGUUGUAAUGCUUAUGAUUCAAAUGCCAUGUUUGCUUCAAGUUCUUCCAUUAUGCAUGAUAGAAAUUUGGCUAAGAAAAAUGUUAUGUCUAGAAGAAAUGUUGUUCAUGUACCUAGGAAAGUAAGUAAUGAACAUUCUACAAUUUACCAUGCUUGCAAUGCUUCCUUUGCUAUUUGUAGAAAGGAUAAGAAAGUGGUUGCUAGAAAAUUAGGGGCAAAAUGCAAGGGAGACAAACCUUGCAUUUGGGUUCCUAAGACUAUUGUCACUAACCUUGUAGGACCCAACAAGAGUUGGGUACCUAAGACCCAAGCCUAAUUUGCCUUGCAGGUUUAUGCAUCAGGGGGAUCAAGCUGGAUUAUCGACAGCGGAUGCACAAACCACAUGACGGGGGAGAAGAAGAUGUUCACCUCCUACGUCAAGAACAAAGAUUCCAAAGACUCAAUCAUAUUCGGUGACGGGAAUCAAGGCAAGGUUAAAGGACUAGGAAAAAUAGCAAUUUCUUCCGAGCAUUCUAUCUCUAAUGUGUUUUUAGUUGAAUCGCUUGGAUAUAAUUUGUUGUUCGUUAGUCAAUUAUGUAAUAUGGGAUAUAAUUGCUUAUUCACAAAUGUAGAUGUGUCUGUCUUUAGAAGGAGUGAUGGUUCAUUAGCUUUUAAGGGUGUAUUAGACGACAAACUCUACUUAGUUGAUUUUGCUAAAGAGGAGGCCAGUCUAGAUGCAUGCUUAAUUGCUAAGACUAGCAUGGGCUGGCUGUGGCAUCGUCGUUUAGCACAUGUGGGGAUGAAGAACCUUCACAAACUUCUAAAGGGAGAACAUGUAAUAGGUCUAACAAAUGUAACCUUGAAAAAGAUAGACCUUGUGCAGCUUGUCAAGCAGGUAAACAGGUGGGAAGCUCUCAUCAUACCAAAAAUGUGAUGACCACAUCAAGACCUUUGGAGUUGCUUCAUAUGGACCUCUUUGGACCCGUCGCCUAUCUAAGCAUAGGAGGAAGUAAGUAUGGUUUAGUAAUUGUUGAUGAUUUUUCCCACUUCACUUGGGUAUUCUUUUUGCAGGAUAAAUCUGAAACCCAAGGGACCCUCAAGCGCUUCCUAAAGAGAGCUCAAAAUGAGUUUGAGCUCAAGGUGAAGAAGAUAAGGAGCGACAACGGGUCCGAGUUCAAGAACCUUCAAGUGGAGGAGUAUCUUGAGGAGGAAGGAAUCAAGAACGAGUUCUCCGCUCCCUACACACCACAACAAAAUGGUGUAGUAGAGAGGAAGAACAGGACUCUCAUUGACAUGGCAAGGAAGAUGCUUGGAGAGUUCAAGACCCCCGAGCGGUUUUGGUCGGAAGCCGUGAACACGGCUUGCCACGCCAUAAACCGGGUCUACCUUCAUCGCCUCCUCAAGAAGACUUCAUAUGAGCUUCUAACCGGUAACAAACCCAACGUUUCGUACUUUCGUGUAUUUGGGAGUAAAUGCUACAUUCUAGUGAAGAAAGGUAGGAAUUCUAAGUUUGCUCCCAAAGCUGUAGAAGGGUUUUUGUUAGGCUAUGACUCAAAUACAAAGGCGUAUAGGGUCUUCAACAAAUCAUCGGGUUUGGUUGAAGUCUCUAGCGACGUUGUAUUUGAUGAGACUAAUGGCUCUCCAAGAGAGCAAGUUGUUGAUCUUGAUGAUGUAGAUGAAGAAGACGUUCCAACGGCCGCAAUUCGCACCAUGGCGAUUGGAGAUGUGCGACCACAGGAACACCAAGAGCAAGAUCAACCUUCUUCUUCAACAAUGGUGCAACCCCCAACUCAAGAUGAUGAACAGGUUCAUCAAGAAGAGGCAUGUGAUCAAAGGGGAGCACAAGAUGUCCAAGUUGAAGAGGAAGAAGCACCACAGGCCCCUCCAACUCAAGUUCGAGCGAUGAUUCAAAAGAACCAUCCCGUCGACCAGAUUUUGGGUGACAUUAGCAAGGGAGUAACCACUCGCUCUAGAUUAGUUAAUUUUUGUGAGCAUUACUCUUUUGUCUCUUCUAUUGAGCCUUUCAGGGUAGAAGAGGCCUUGCUAGAUCCGGACUGGGUGUUGGCCAUGCAGGAAGAGCUCAACAACUUCAAGCGUAAUGAAGUUUGGACACUGGUGCCGCGUCCCAAGCAAAAUGUUGUGGGAACCAAAUGGGUGUUCCGCAACAAGCAGGACGAGCACGGGGUGGUGACGAGGAACAAGGCUCGACUUGUGGCAAAAGGUUAUGCCCAAGUCGCAGGUUUGGACUUUGAGGAGACUUUUGCUCUUGUGGCUAGGCUAGAGUCGAUUCGUAUUUUGUUAUCCUAUGCUGCUCACCAUUCUUUCAGGUUGUACCAAAUGGAUGUUAAGAGCGCUUUCCUCAACGGGCCAAUCAAGGAGGAGGUGUACGUGGAGCAACCCCCUGGCUUUGAGGAUGAACGGUACCCCAACCACGUGUGUAAGCUCUCUGAGGCGCUCUAUGGACUUAAGCAAGCCCCAAGAGCAUGGUAUGAAUGCCUUAGAGACUUCUUAAUUGCUAAUGCUUUCAAGGUUGGGAAAGCCGAUCCAACUUUAUUCACUAAGACUUGUGAUGGUGACUUAUUUGUGUGCCAAAUUUAUGUUGAUGACAUAAUAUUUGGUUCUACUAACCAAAAGUCUUGUGAAGAGUUUAGCAGGGUGAUGACGCAGAAAUUCGAGAUGUCGAUGAUGGGCGAGUUGAACUACUUCCUUGGGUUCCAAGUGAAGCAACUCAAGGACAGCACUUUCAUCUCCCAAACGAAGUAUACGCAAGACUUGCUCAAGCGGUUUGGGAUGAAGGACGCCAAGCCCGCAAAGACUCCAAUGGGAACUGACGGACAUGUCGACCUCAACAAAAGAGGUAAGUCCGUUGAUCAAAAAGCAUACCGGUCCAUGAUAGGUUCCUUGCUUUAUUUAUGUGCUAGUAGACCGGAUAUUAUGCUUAGUGUAUGCAUGUGUGCUAGAUUUCAAUCCGAUCCAAAGGAGUGUCACUUAGUGGCUGUGAAGCGAAUUCUUAGAUAUUUAGUCGCUACGCCCUGCUUCAGGAUCUAGUAUCCUAAGGGGUCUACCUUUGACUUAAUUGGAUAUUCAGACUCCGAUUAUGCUGGAUGUAAGGUCGAUAGGAAGAGUACAUCAGGGACGUGCCAAUUCCUAGGAAGGUCCCUGGUGUCGUGGAGUUUUAAGAAACAAACCUCCGUUGCCCUAUCCACCGCUGAGGCCGAGUACGUUGCCGCAGGACAGUGUUGCGCACAACUACUUUGGAUGAGGCAAACCCUCCGGGACUUUGGCUACAAUCUGAGCGAAGUCCCACUCCUAUGUGACAAUGAGAGUGCUAUCCGCAUGGCGGAUAAUCCUGUUGAACACAGCCGCAUAAAGCACAUAGACAUCCAGCAUCACUUUUUGAGAGACCACCAGCAAAUGGGAGAUAUCAAAGUGUUUUAUGUUAGCACCGAGAACCAGCUAGCCGAUAUCUUUACCAAGCCUUUAGAUGAGAAGACCUUUUGCAGGCUGCGUAGUGAGCUAAAUGUCUUAGAUUCGUGGAACUUGGAUUGAUUUGUAGCAUACAUGUGUAUUAUGCCUUGAUCAUGAUCCUUAUGCAUUUUGUUGUUUAUUUAUGGUGCUCAAGUUGUACAAGCACUCCCCAGACCUCACAAGUCCAUUUGCAAGUGAUGCACAUAUUUAGGGGGAGAUGUGCUACAACUUGACUCUUUGGGACUAACCAGGUGGUUGAGUGUUCUUAAAUUAGUCUCAAAGGAGGAUUGAAAGGGAAAGGUGGACUUGGACCAUGAAAGACUUCCACUGCACUCCGAUAAGAGGGUAACUUACUCCAAGUUCAUCUCCAUGUCUCUUAUUGCCUUUUGCUCUUAAUUGACAAUUUUGGUGAGGCAAUGGGGUUUAAGGGCCAAGAUUGAUCCCGUUUUGGUGCUUGAUGCCAACGGGGGAGAAAAUAAGGCCAAAGCAACAAAUGGAUCAGCUACCACUUGAGAAUUGUGAAAAAUAGUAGAGUUAGGACUUUUGAUUUGUCAAAAUUCUAAAUGUCUCUUUUUGUCAAAAGUUGGUCUCUUGUGGGGAGAAUGUUUGAUUAUGGGAAAUAGGGGGAGUUUUUGAAUCAGUGAUCAAUUUCUCUUGGAAUACCUUUCUCUAUGCUUCAACAAAUGAAUUUGACUUAGAGAUAGGAAAUUGAGUUUAGUUUGCAAAAACAAACCAAGUGGUGGCAAAGAAUGAUCCAAAUAUGCCAAAUUAACAAAUUUGUGUUCUUAUUUGCAUUGAUGUUGCACAUCUUUGUAUUGCUUUUGUUGUGUUGGCAUAAAUCACCAAAAAGGGGGAGAUUGAAAGGGAAAUGUGCCCUUGGGCCAUUUCUAAGUAUUUUGGUGAUUGAGUGCCAACACAAGUGGUCAUGUGCUAAUCUAUGCCAAAUGAUGGACAAAGUGAAAAUCAACAUAAAGGUAUGUUUCUAAGUCUUAGUACUUUGUUUUAAGGACUAAUGUAUUGUGUCUAAGUACUGGAAACAGGAGAAAUCAAUUUGGAAAAGAGAUGGCUUUGUUCAGCCAAAGACAAUUUAGUCUCGGAGCACCGGACUGUCCGGUGCGCCAGGCUGGCUUUGGUGAAAAGGCCGCUCUCGGGAAUUCGUCGGCGGCGUACGACUAAAAUUCACCAGACUGUCCGGUGUGCACCGGACUGUCCGGUGAGCCAACGGUCGGCCGUGCAAUCCGCGCGUGACGCGUGGCCGGGCCAACGGUCUGAAGGGGGCACCGGACUGUCCGGUGUGCAUCGGACAGUGUCCGGUUUGCACCGGACAGUGUCCGGUGCGCUAACGGCUCCAAAUCUCCAACGGUCGACUGCGCCAAAACAGGAAAGAAAUCCGCACCGGACAGUGUCCGGUGGUCCACCGGACUGUCCGGUGCGCCAGGCGACAGAAGGCAAGAAUUGCCUUCCUGGAAUGCUCUCAACGGCUCCUAGCUGCCUUGGGGCUAUAAAAGGGACCCCUAGGCGCAUGGAGGAGUGUACCAAGCAUCCCUUGAGCAUUCCUAAGCACCAAGACCUCAUUUCUGCGCAUUCGAUUCUUUGUGAUAGCAACUAGAGCUCCAUUUGAGUAGAGAACUCUUUGAGUUGUGUUGAGAGCUCAAGUUGUGACUUGUGUGCAUAUUGUUGCUCUAAUUUUGUGUCUUGUGUGUGUUGCUCAUCCCAUCCUUAUUUCCGUGAUUCUUUGUGUUAAUCAAAUUGUAAGGGCGAGAGGCUCCAAGUUGUGGAGAUUCCUCGCAAGCGGGAUAUAGUGAAACAAAGCAAAACACCGUGGUAUUCAAGUGAGUCUUUGGACCGCUUGAGAGGGGUUGAGUGCAACCCACGUCCGUUGGUACGCCACAAUGUGGAGUAGGCAAGUGUUGGACUUGGCCGAACCACGGGAUAAACCACUGUGCCUCUCUGUGUUGAUCUCCUUGUGGUUAUUGUGUUUUGCAACAACUCCUCUCUAGCCACUUGGCUUUAUUGUGCUAACUCCUAAUCAAGUUUUGUGGCAUUAAGUCUCAAGUUUUUACAGGAUCACCUAUUCACCCCCCCCCCUCUAGGUGCUCUCAGCGCCCUUUACCCACAAGUCGUGUAUCCCGUUCAGCCAGGGUUUGCAAGGCCCUUAGACACUUCCGAGGUGAAUGGCAAGGGAUCCACUACGAGGCCUUUACAAAGUUCCAAUAGCUUCAGAAAACCUGCUACGGUUUCUAAGAAGGGCAAUAUAAGAAUCCCUCGUCCGAAAAGCCAUCGCAGCAUGAUCGAUCCGAGAACCUCCCUAUACGCAGCUCCUCUACCACCCUUGCCCCUUUCGGGUAAGGUAGUCCUCCACUAGCUUUCCUAAUUAGUCAGCCAAGGGCGACCCAUUCCACCCUUGUGGUAGCACGGAUAUCUCAAGUUAAGCUCCAUGUUCCAAUUAACACAAUGAUCUUGUCAUGAACAAUAAUUGAACAACAACAUAACUGGAACAUGAUCAUAAUGUAACAUUAAUCCCAAAACCAGGUAUAGCAAUAGAAAAACUACCCAAGAGUUCAGUGGUAAAUAAGGUGAGGGAUAAACAAAUCUAGGGAAACCUUUUAGGUCCCAUCAAAUUAACCUGAGCAUGUCACAGUGAUUACCAUGAGCAUUAUUAGGUAAAGAAGAGUGAUCAAGGGCACAACUUGCCUGUAACUCAAAUUUCCAGGUACCAACAUGGUCUUCAAGUGACUCGUAACCUCACUGCUAGUCGUAGCAAUACAAACAAACAUGGUAUAUGCAAAUUUAACAUCACACCAAACAUAUGAACAAACCGCAUAAAAAUAUUCUACGCGAUACUACAAGAGCGCAGGUUCGAGAACGACUAAAAUCAGAGUUACAGAUAAAAAGAUAUAAUAUUCUAAAGUUUUAGGUGGUUAAACGGUAAAUCUUUUAUUCUUUAUUAAUUAAUAUAAGCCAGAAAGGUUAUGACAAAUAAAUAACUAAUUUAUCUUUAAUCUAGUUUAUAACUCGACUAGAGGUUAUAUUUUAGUCACAAUAUUAUUAUGGAUAUAUUAACUUUGUUUAGAAGGUUUAAUUCCAUUGAGCAUAGGUUAAAUGAAUAUUUAUUUAUGAACUCAUGUUAUUUGAUAAAGUAAUGUUACAAAGACGUAGGCAACAUUAUUACGAAGCUAACACAAUUUGAAUGGAUCAAAUCGGAGUUACCAUACCGUUGGAUCCAAAGUCAAUGGCCGAGAUCCAACCAUGCCAGUGCCCACUCCCAGCCCUCGGAUGGACGACUUACAGCCAAGAUUUAAAGUGCCGAAGGGGGGUAUACCCACGGUUCAAUCCCAGUCGUCCAACCCAAAUCUACAGCAGCUGACCCAUCACCCACCUCUGGCAACCCAGAACGGCGGUGUGUGCGCACCACACGGCGGCGCCAUAGCCAGGUGCUACCACUACCAUACACAACCGCCCAAACUUCAACCCAAGAGUUGCUGCACGAAGAGGAUAUCACGUGGAGUUAGGUUAGGGGUACUAUACCGGUGAUAGAUCGGUGCUGAGGGCCGACGACGGGGUUUGGCGGCUCCGCGAGGGUUCUUGACACCGACGAGCAAUCCCAGCAUCCCUAUCGUCACAUGCACCCUCGCGACGCCAUGGAAUAGGCCCCUGGAACCGGACGAAGAUCUCCGGCCCAAACCGGACGCCGCAACGACGGUGAAUCAGAGCCUUUAUGGCGGCGGAUCGCUCACCAAUCUCUCCCCUCACACCGGUGAAACACACACGAAGCAUAGGAGAACUCAAGGAAGGUUGCAAGGUAUGGCGAGAGGCGAGGGACGCGGGUUCAAGUACCCGGUGGUGUGGCCGAAUCGGGUGCAACCACCAUCCCUGCAUGCCGGAGUUGUUGUUCGUCCACCGACG